AUAAGCCUCACCCUCAGAAAUCAUAAUGAGUUAGGAACAAGGGUAGAAAUGAGGAAGGUGGAGCUGCAGGUACGAGUAUAAACAAAAGGGUGGCUGGCACCAGAGACAAAGGAAAGGAGAGCUGGACAUACAAGAGGUAUUUCAGCUUCAUUCCAAAAAGGAGGUGUUCCUGUAUAUCAUGAGGAAGGAAGGCAGGAAUGCAGCUGCUAGUAGCUGGGUACCCGAUAAAGACACAGAAAUGGGAGAGAGUGGUUAAGUGCAUGGGCACUGAAGGCACAUUUCCUGGGUUCCAAUCUUGGCUGUCUGACCUCAGUUGCGGUCAAGCUGAUCAAAGCCAGAAGAGGCCUGUUGCAUGUGAACCCGCAUCCCUCACAAUGACAUCCACAAAGCAGAAUGAAAUAUGGAAUAUCAAGUUUCCAAGGAUGUAUGAACUUGUAAAAAAUCUGAAAGAAUAG
This 455-nucleotide long non-coding RNA is filed under the name Papio anubis (olive baboon). Its description in RNAcentral is "lncRNA (ENSPANG00000040744.1)". The record is from RNAcentral. Lineage: Eukaryota; Metazoa; Chordata; Mammalia; Primates; Cercopithecidae.